Molecule: long non-coding RNA, 439 nt
Organism: Lolium perenne
Lineage: Eukaryota; Viridiplantae; Streptophyta; Magnoliopsida; Poales; Poaceae
Source: RefSeq, a predicted model, not a curated record
AUUAGCAAAGCCAGCCAAAAGGAGCUCUCUGAUAGAUGGGGUCCUUCGCCAGAGCAGCUCAUUUCCUGGUACUCCUUCAGAUCGUGCUGUUCGUCGUCUCCGCUAUCAUCAUGAGCGGCUCCGUCUGCCAAGGAGCCCGAGGGAUCAGUGGUGGCGCUCUGGACCCUAACAGUCCUGCAUGCAUCAACGGAUCGUGUGGUCGUGGUGAUCCCUAUACUGGUCGACCGUGCAGUGUAAAGUACAGGUGCAUACCACCGGCUGUUAAGCCAUAAAACCAGCAGACCCAGGACCCCUUCCAGAACCAGAAUAAUAGAAGGAUAUACUGCUCGACUUUGAUGAAUGCAUCCUUCUAACAGUACAACUUAAUUACUGUCACGAUCUUGUACUGAACUUGUAUACUUUAAGACCGCAAAUAAAAUUUGGAUAUGUCGCACUGUUA